This 253-nucleotide ribosomal RNA is filed under the name uncultured bacterium. RNAcentral describes it as "partial 16S ribosomal RNA". It matches the Rfam family "Bacterial small subunit ribosomal RNA", at positions 524 to 776 of the family's 1533-position model. The record is from RNAcentral.
UACGUAGGGUGCGAGCGUUGUCCGGAAUUACUGGGCGUAAAGCGUACGCAGGCGGCUUUGCAAGACAGGUGUGAAAUCCCCGGGCCUAACCUGGGAACUGCAUUUGUGACUGCACAGCUGGAGUGCGGCAGAGGGGGAUGGAAUUCCGCGUGUAGCAGUGAAAUGCGUAGAUAUGCGGAGGAACACCGAUGGCGAAGGCAAUCCCCUGGGCCUGCACUGACGCUCAUGCACGAAAGCGUGGGGAGCAAACAGG